Long non-coding RNA from Bombus impatiens (common eastern bumble bee), 976 nucleotides. RefSeq lists it as uncharacterized. The record is from RefSeq and is a predicted model, not a curated record. The transcript is spliced from 2 exons. NCBI's taxonomy places the organism in Eukaryota, Metazoa, Arthropoda, Insecta, Hymenoptera, Apidae.
GCAAAAUAUUUAUCUUCGGAUACGAGUCAUUGUAUCAACAAUGUAUCGUUGUGGAAAUUUAAGACUGACGCAAUAAACACUACCUGGAGUGCUGCGUUGUCGCAACUUGUUUAGACGCAACGUAAACAGUUUGUUUCUCAAUCGAUCAAUGGCUUGACACGCGCAUUGCAAAUCGGUUUUUUGAAUUUUAAGUCAUUCCUCGUUAUCGUGGACCAAUUGCAAGUUGUAGCAAGUUCUCAGUGGUACGAACUUGCGUCAUUUCGUUUGCGUAAUUAGCAAAAAUUCUGAAGCACGAUUCAUCCCAUUGACGCACAAUACGAUGAAAGAGGAAAACGAGUAACGAACGGUGUGAAAGACCAAACAGUUCUUGUUUCAAGGCUCAUGUUGUUUCUCAUCUACGAGACGACAUAACAGUUGGGAUCACAUUGGAAAAGGAAAAGAACAGAAACGGAAAUUACAUACUCUUUCAAUAUGAAACCAACGUGUGAUGUGUAAACCUGCAUAAAGAAGCUUUCUCUUUAAUCUAUAAAAGGGUGCAUAUCGGCCAACAUGAUGAAUUGAAGAGAAAUUGUGUAGGUUGAAUAUUCGCAAGUAGGUCGAGAAGUUCAUUAGAAUUCUAUAAAGUACCAUUACAUUUUUUUUCACGAGAGAGAACAGUAAUUUUCUACUUAUUUUAAUAUGAUCUUCUGACAGUAUACAGAACGAUUCUAUAGAUAAUACUUUUUUAAUUUACUUUAAUUUAGCUUAAUUUAUGUGUCAGGAGAAGCGCGAAUCUUUUUGGGUCAUUAGCGAGACUGCUGUAUUGCAUUACAUAGUUCGAUUAUAGAUGCAAAGAAAUUUUCUUGUGUUUCUAUUUUCCUUGAUUUUCAUAUAAUAGCUUUUAUCAGCUUUAACCCAAUACCUUUUAACCGAAAAAAUGAUCUUAAAAUCAUAAAUUACAAGGUCUGUUAUUCUAAAUAAACUAAUUCUAUCUUGA